UUGUGGAGGAGGACGCCGAAGGUGGGGCUAAUGACUGGGGUGAAGUCGUAACAAGGUAGCCGUACCGGAAGGUGCGGCUGGAUCACCUCCUAACAGGGAGACAACAAAAUGUAAAUAUUAAUUUUGUCACCUUAGGUCGAUCGGUAUCUCAGAUUCUUAUUUUUUAAGAAUUUCAGUUUCUAAGUUUUUUCUAGGUCACACCCAUCACUUUUUCCUGGGCCAUUAGCUCAGGUGGUUAGAGCGCACCCCUGAUAAGGGUGAGGUCCCUGGUUCAAGUCCAGGAUGGCCCAUAUCUCUAUGUUGGGGGUAUAGCUCAGUUGGUAGAGCGCCUGCUUUGCAAGCAGGAUGUCAGCGGUUCGAGUCCGCUUACCUCCACUGAAUACCACCUCUUACAUAUAUUUAAAGAGGGAAAUUGCUUUGAGUUGUGUCCUAUUUUGCUCUGAGCGAAUCUAGCUUCCUAUUUUAUUCAAUAAAUAAGAUGCUGGACUCAUUGAAUUUUUUUUCAUUGUUUUCAGAGAACCUUGACAACUGCAUAGAUUAUUUUUGAAGACCAUAAGCAUCUUUAAUGAUGCAGAUUUAUUAUUUGUGCGAAUGCAUUAAAUAACAAUUCUAUUAAGCUGAUGCUUCAAUUAUUGAAGUUAUUGGUCAAGCUACAA
RNAcentral lists this unclassified non-coding RNA (656 nucleotides) under uncultured Prochlorococcus sp. RNAcentral describes it as "partial 16S-23S ribosomal RNA intergenic spacer; may also contain 16S ribosomal RNA and 23S ribosomal RNA". The stretch from base 303 to 375 matches the Rfam family "tRNA". Lineage: Bacteria; Bacillati; Cyanobacteriota; Cyanophyceae; Synechococcales; Prochlorococcaceae. The record is from RNAcentral.